This 400-nucleotide unclassified non-coding RNA is filed under the name uncultured fungus. RNAcentral describes it as "sequence contains ITS1". Lineage: Eukaryota; Fungi. The record is from RNAcentral.
AUGGACUACUAGGGUUUCUAAUCCCGUUCGCUCCCCACGCUUUCGUACCUCAGCGUCAGGACAAGCCCAGCUGCCUGAUUUCUCCUUCGGCGUUCCGAUAGAUAUCAACGCAUUUCACCACUCCACCUAUCGUUCCGACAGCCCCUACUUGCCUCAAGGCACGCGGUUCGUCAAGCAAUUCCUCGGUUGAGCCGAGGGCUUUCACAAGACGCCUGCGCGCCCGCCUACGUACGCUUUAAGCCCAGUGAUUCCGCGCAACGCUCGGGCCCUUCGUAUUACCGCGGCUGCUGGCACGAAGUUAGCCGGCCCUUCCUUUGGGUCUGCUCAUUGUGUUGCUAAACCCUGACAGCAGUUUACACUCCGAGAAGCUUCAUCCUGCACGCGGCAUUGCUCCGUCACG